This 330-nucleotide long non-coding RNA is filed under the name Manduca sexta (tobacco hornworm). RNAcentral describes it as "uncharacterized LOC119188806". Lineage: Eukaryota; Metazoa; Arthropoda; Insecta; Lepidoptera; Sphingidae. The record is from RNAcentral.
GGUCUCGACCUCGAGGUACUCCACCUCUCCGUCGUGGUCGCCGUCCGCCUCCGCCUCGCCGUCCGCGUCGUGUUCCACCUCCAUGUGCUCCUCCUCCUGCGAGUCGCCGCCCUCCUCCUGCUACAACACCACACGUAGAAGGGUAUGUGUCAAGAAACGGAACAGAGGCAUAAUACCCACACGUGACAUCAUUGGAAAUUAGAAAGUUUGAAAAAGAAAUAACAGAUGGAGCGAUAUUCCCACUAUGUGUUUUCAAGUCCAACUAACUUGUCUGUGGAAUGCCCCAUGUAUCAUCUCGGCAUAAAACGGCGUAAUAAAUUUGUUCACUCA